CACUUGUCAUCUUUAUAUCUCCACCUGUGCACUUUUUGUAGAUCUGGAUAUCUUUCUGAAUGCCUGCAUUCAGGUUUGAGGAUUGACUUGUCUUUCCUUACAUUUCCAGGCCUAUGUUUCUUCAUAUACACCAUGUAUGUUAUAGAAUGUAAUGAAAAGGGCCUUUGUGCCUACAAACUUAUACAACUUUCAGCAACGGAUCUCUUGGCUCUCGCAUCGAUGAAGAACGCAGCGAAAUGCGAUAAGUAAUGUGAAUUGCAGAAUUCAGUGAAUCAUCGAAUCUUUGAACGCACCUUGCGCUCCUUGGUAUUCCGAGGAGCAUGCCUGUUUGAGUGUCAUUAAUAUAUCAACCUCCUCAGGUUUUUACUUGUCGAGUGUUUGGAUGUGGGGGUUUUUUUUGCUGGUCUCUCUUGAGAUCGGCUCCCCUGAAAUGCAUUAGCGGAACAAUUUGUUGACCCGUUCAUUGGUGUGAUAACUAUCUACGCUAUUGACGUGAAGCAGGUUCAGCUUCUAACAGUCCAUUAACUUGGACAAAUUUUCAUUUAAAUGUGACCUCAAAUCAGGUAGGACUACCCGCUGAACUUAAGCA
RNAcentral lists this ribosomal RNA (589 nucleotides) under uncultured aff. Cortinarius sp. RNAcentral describes it as "eukaryotic LSU rRNA". The stretch from base 185 to 338 matches the Rfam family "5.8S ribosomal RNA". Lineage: Eukaryota; Fungi; Basidiomycota; Agaricomycetes; Agaricales; Cortinariaceae. The record is from RNAcentral.